RNAcentral lists this transfer RNA (798 nucleotides) under uncultured Synechococcus sp. RNAcentral describes it as "partial 16S-23S ribosomal RNA intergenic spacer". The stretch from base 298 to 370 matches the Rfam family "tRNA". Lineage: Bacteria; Bacillati; Cyanobacteriota; Cyanophyceae; Synechococcales; Synechococcaceae. The record is from RNAcentral.
GGCUGGAUCACCUCCUAACAGGGAGACAAACCUAAUCAUGAUGUCUGAGUUUUUUAGUCUUAGGCCAUGAUUCUGUCACCUUAGGUCGAUCGGUACCUCAAGGAACAAGCCAGGGAGACUGAGCAAUCAGAGGAGCCUGGCGAGUUUUUUCAGUUCUUAAACGUUGUCUAGGUCACCCCAUGGCUCCUGGGCCAUUAGCUCAGGUGGUUAGAGCGCACCCCUGAUAAGGGUGAGGUCCCUGGUUCAAGUCCAGGAUGGCCCAUGCACAGCCUGGUGAGCAGGCAGGACUUGAAAGCUGGGGGUUUAGCUCAGUUGGUAGAGCGCCUGCUUUGCAAGCAGGAUGUCAGCGGUUCGAGUCCGCUAACCUCCAUCGCAACGCAAGAGCCCACAAGCGCAAGCGCCAGAAGCGCAAGCGGAGGAGGUAGGGAGUGACCGAGACGGGGAGCAAGACGGGAACGAGAGGAGCUGAGGACGAUUCCAGCCUUCAGGAUUCAAGCGAUCAACUGCCAAAGAAGCAGGAAAGCGUUUGAGUAUUGAAUGCUGGACUCACACCCACCGAGAGCUGUUGAAACGGUGAUGGGUGGGGUGAUUGGUUCAGCGUCGAACCUUGACAACUGCAUAGGUGAGUCUGGAAAGAAAGCAUCUCAUGGAUGACCAGUGAAAACUGGAAAUUCUAUGACGUAAAGAGCCGAGGCUUUCCAGCGUUCUUCCAAAGCUUUGGCCAAUCCAGCCAAAGGGAGGGAGUUUGAUUUUGCGAUUCAAACCGUGAUGAUGCUGUGAUGAGCAGUGUGAUCAGCA